AACGAACGCUGGCGGCGUGGAUUAGGCAUGCAAGUCGAACGGUAGACAGGCCUUCGGGCCUGUUGAGAGUGGCGAACGGGUGAGUAUCGCGUGAGCAACCUGCCUUCAAGUGGGGAAUAACAUCUCCAACGAGGUGCUAAUACCGCAUAAUAGAGGUCUCGCAUGGGACCUCUUAAAAGGCGACCUCUGAUUCAAGUUGUCGCUUGAAGAUGGGCUCGCGUUCCAUUAGCUUGUUGGCAGGGUAACGGCCUACCAAGGCGACGAUGGAUAGCCGGCCUGAGAGGGUGUCCGGCCACACUGGGACUGAGAUACGGCCCAGACUCCUACGGGAGGCAGCAGUCGAGAAGCUUGCCCAAUGGGGGAAACCCUGAGGCAGCGACGCCGCGUGGGUGAUGAAGCUUUUUGGAGUGUAAAGCCCUUUUGGUGGGGACGAAUCACAGAGGUGCCAAUACCAUCUCUGUUUGACGGUACCUGCAGAAGAAGCUCCGGCUAACUUCGUGCCAGCAGCCGCGGUAAUACGAGGGGAGCGAGCGUUGUUCGGAUUUACUGGGCGUAAAGGGCGUCUAGGCGGACCUGCAAGUCAGAUGUGAAAGCCCCCGGCUCAACCGGGGAAUGGCAUUUGAAACUGUGGGUCUUGAGUACAGAAGAGGAAAGCGGAAUUCCUGGUGUAGCGGUGAAAUGCGUAGAUAUCAGGAAGAACACCGGUGGCGAAGGCAGCUUUCUGGGCUGAUACUGACGCUGAAGCGCGAAAGCGUGGGGAGCAAACAGGAUUAGAUACCCUGGUAGUCCACGCCGUAAACGAUGGGCACUAGGUGUUGGGAGUAUCGACUCUUCCAGUGCCGUAGCUAACGCAUUAAGUGCCCCGCCUGGGGAGUACGAUCGCAAGGUUG
RNAcentral lists this ribosomal RNA (890 nucleotides) under uncultured bacterium. RNAcentral describes it as "bacterial SSU rRNA". It matches the Rfam family "Bacterial small subunit ribosomal RNA", at positions 28 to 896 of the family's 1533-position model. The record is from RNAcentral.